Molecule: ribosomal RNA, 498 nt
Filed under: uncultured bacterium
Lineage: Bacteria
Description: partial 16S ribosomal RNA
Rfam family: Bacterial small subunit ribosomal RNA
Source: RNAcentral
AUUGAACGCUGGCGGCAUGCCUUACACAUGCAAGUCGAACGGUAACAGGUCUUCGGAUGCUGACGAGUGGCGAACGGGUGAGUAAUACAUCGGAACGUGCCUAGUAGUGGGGGAUAACUACUCGAAAGAGUGGCUAAUACCGCAUGAGAUCUACGGAUGAAAGCAGGGGAUCGCAAGACCUUGUGCUACUAGAGCGGCCGAUGGCAGAUUAGGUAGUUGGUGGGAUAAAAGCUUACCAAGCCGACGAUCUGUAGCUGGUCUGAGAGGACGAUCAGCCACACUGGACCUGAGAAACGGCCCAGACUCCUACGGGAGGCAGCAGUGGGGAAUUUUGGCAAAUGGGCGCAAGCCUGAUCCAGCAAUGCCGCGUGCAGGAUGAAGGCCUUCGGGUUGUAAACUGCUUUUGUACGGAACGAAAAGCCCCGGGUUAAUACCCUGGGGUCAUGACGGUACCGUAAGAAUAAGCACCGGCUAACUACGUGCCAGCCGCCGCGGUAA